GGUUUGGUAGUUCAGUUGGUUAGAAUGCCGCCCUGUCACGGCGGAGGUCGCGGGUUCGAGUCCCGUCCAGACCGCUA
Molecule: transfer RNA, 77 nt
Filed under: Hymenobacter sp.
Lineage: Bacteria; Pseudomonadati; Bacteroidota; Cytophagia; Cytophagales; Hymenobacteraceae
Also listed under: 1 other name
Description: tRNA-Asp
Rfam family: tRNA
About the family: Transfer RNA (tRNA) molecules are approximately 80 nucleotides in length.
Source: RNAcentral